This 478-nucleotide ribosomal RNA is filed under the name uncultured bacterium. RNAcentral describes it as "partial 16S ribosomal RNA". It matches the Rfam family "Bacterial small subunit ribosomal RNA", at positions 28 to 507 of the family's 1533-position model. The record is from RNAcentral.
GAUGAACGCUGGCGGCGUGCUUAACACAUGCAAGUCGAACGAGAAAUGUAGACGGAAACCUUCGGGCGGAAGCCUUCAUUUCGAGUGGCGGACGGGUGAGUAACGCGUGGGUAACCUGCCUCAUACAGGGGGAUAACAGUUGGAAACGACUGUUAAUACCGCAUAAGACCACAGCAUCGCAUGAUGCGGGGGUAAAAACUCCGGUGGUAUGAGAUGGACCCGCGUUCGAUUAGCCAGUUGGCGGGGUAACGGCCCACCAGAGCGACGAUCGAUAGCCGAUCUGAGAGGAUGACCGGCCACAUUGGGACUGAGACACGGCCCAAACUCCUACGGGAGGCAGCAGUGGGGAAUAUUGCACAAUGGGGGAAACCCUGAUGCAGCGACGCCGCGUGAGUGAAGAAGUACUUCGGUAUGUAAAGCUCUAUCAGCAGGGAAGAAAAUGACGGUACCUGAGUAAGAAGCCCCGGCUGACUACGUG